RNAcentral lists this ribosomal RNA (446 nucleotides) under uncultured bacterium. Its description in RNAcentral is "bacterial SSU rRNA". It matches the Rfam family "Bacterial small subunit ribosomal RNA", at positions 958 to 1399 of the family's 1533-position model. The record is from RNAcentral.
AACGCGAAGAACCUUACCAGGAUUCGACAUGCCCUCUAUGGAUUUCCGAAAAGAAAUCCUUCACUUCGGGUGGGAGGAGCACAGGUGCUGCAUGGCUGUCGUCAGCUCGUGUCGUGAGAUGUUGGGUUAAGUCCCGCAACGAGCGCAACCCUCAUCCCUAGUUGCCACCGGGUCAAGCCGAGCACUCUAGUGAAACCGCCCCGGAUAACGGGGAGGAAGGUGGGGAUGACGUCAAGUCCUCAUGGCCUUUAUGUCCAGGGCUACACACGUGCUACAAUGGUCGGUACAAACCGUCGCAAAGCUGCAAAGUGGAGCUAAUCGGAAAAAGCCGGCCUCAGUUCGGAUUGGAGUCUGCAACUCGACUCCAUGAAGCUGGAAUCGCUAGUAAUCGCAGAUCAGAACGCUGCGGUGAAUACGUUCCCGGGCCUUGUACACACCGCUCGCGA